GUCCGGUUUGUUUUGAAUCUAACUUCAAACGUAAAACAUCGUACAGAUUACGUUGAACAAAAUCAAAUCUAAUAAAUGAAGGCGGUGAAUUAAUUUUUUUACCAUAACACAUGAAUAACUGUAGAUAACAAGUGCGUGUAUUUGUAGAAAUUAAAUAAAAACUCAAUGACUAUGGUGGUUCCGACUCUUCUUGAAUUUUCAAUCUCAAAUAGUAAAGCCCAAUGAUUCUUAAAUUCUUGAAUGACCAUAAGAAUCUUUAAAGAACAUAUCUGUUUUAAAAUUCAAAUGACAUUUCACACAUGUGCUUAAGAAGUUAUGCUACACUUGUUAUGAUUUUUUGUUAGAAAUUUGG
Molecule: long non-coding RNA, 352 nt
Filed under: Mytilus galloprovincialis (Mediterranean mussel)
Lineage: Eukaryota; Metazoa; Mollusca; Bivalvia; Mytilida; Mytilidae
Source: RNAcentral